RNAcentral lists this non-coding RNA (23 nucleotides) under Cricetulus griseus (Chinese hamster). The record is from RNAcentral. Lineage: Eukaryota; Metazoa; Chordata; Mammalia; Rodentia; Cricetidae.
UCGCUGUAAGCUCUAAGACAGGC